AUGGCGCAUUCAACUCCUACUGAUGAAUGGUUGACCACUCUCCGAGCAUACCGCCGUGCCAGGGGCCUUUGUUAUCUUUGUGGUAAGAAAUGGUCCAGGGAUCACAAGUGUGCGACUGUCGUGCAACUGCAUGUUGUACAAGAGCUUUUUGAUGUCUUGGGUAUCUUAGGGUUUGACAGACCGUCUGAUCAGUCAGAUUCUCCUAGUGAACGUCAUACAAUUUCCAGAGCAGCUGUGGGAGGCACAGUCACACCUCAGACUGUGCGUUUGCAAGGAUCCAUCCAAAAGCACAAGGUGUUGAUGCUGAUUGACUCGGGCAGCUCACACAGUUUUGUCAGUUCAGCCUUGGCAACUCGAUUGUCUGGAGUGGAGGUAUCCACUCGUUCUCUUCAAGUGCAUGUGGCGGACGGGGGGCAGUUGCAGUGUACAUAUGAGCUCCCGGCUUGUCAAUGGACUAUGCAAGGGCAUAAAUUUUGA
This 477-nucleotide ribosomal RNA is filed under the name Triticum aestivum (bread wheat). RNAcentral describes it as "partial small subunit ribosomal RNA". Lineage: Eukaryota; Viridiplantae; Streptophyta; Magnoliopsida; Poales; Poaceae. The record is from RNAcentral.